GGAAUCUUCCACAAUGGACGAAAGUCUGAUGGAGCAAUGCCGCGUGAGUGAAGAAGGUUUUCGGAUCGUAAAACUCUGUUGUUGAAGAAGAACAUAUGUGAGAGUAACUGUUCACGUACUGACGGUAUUCAACCAGAAAGCCACGGCUAACUACGUGCCAGCAGCCGCGGUAAUACGUAGGUGGCAAGCGUUAUCCGGAUUUAUUGGGCGUAAAGCGAGCGCAGGCGGUUUCUUAAGUCUGAUGUGAAAGCCUUCGGCUUAACCGAAGAAGUGCAUCGGAAACUGGGAAACUUGAGUGCAGAAGAGGACAGUGGAACUCCAUGUGUAGCGGUGAAAUGCGUAGAUAUAUGGAAGAACACCAGUGGCGAAGGCGGCUGUCUGGUCUGUAACUGACGCUGAGGCUCGAAAGCAUGGGUAGCGAACA
Molecule: ribosomal RNA, 424 nt
Filed under: uncultured Lactobacillus sp.
Lineage: Bacteria; Bacillati; Bacillota; Bacilli; Lactobacillales; Lactobacillaceae
Description: bacterial SSU rRNA
Rfam family: Bacterial small subunit ribosomal RNA
Source: RNAcentral